GCAAGUGUAACAAAAUCGGAAUCAUUAGAAUGAGGAAGAAAGAAAAGGUCCGAAACAUCUUCCAUUAAGAUAUAUGUAAAUACAUUUGGUGUAACAUAACUAUACCGGAUUACAAAAAAUAAGUACAAUGGAACAAAAAAUCGAGUACAUUCAGUACAUUUUAGGGAAUAUGCAUUUGAAAGAGGAAAGGCCACACAAAGUAUGAAAAUGAAAUACAAGAUGAGGGACCAAACAACUCUUCAAACAUCCACAUAUAAUGUGAAUGAAAAUAACACCAAUUGCUCAAACUUCAAAUUAACGACAGUUAAUCAACAAUAAUCCAUGAAGUCACCACUAAUCAAAGCAAGAACAAAAUAAAAAACAUAACCAUAAAUUAAAAUAUCGGUUGCAGUUAAAUCUCAUUCCGAAGUGACAAAGUGGUGCAUCCUCGCAUUGAAGACAAGGUGAUAUCAAACUCUCAACACAUACUUCUGGUUUCUGUAUUCAAACUUAGUAAACUUAAAAGUUCCAUUCUUGGAAUCGUAAACAACCAAAUUCCAUUUGCCAUUUCCAAUACACUGCAACAGUACUUUGUCAUCCUCAAAUGUAUAUAAAACCUUGAUCAACAUAUAUGAUUUACCAUGAUCUUGCAUGUUAGAAAGAGUGAACAAUUUAGUCCAAGACUCUUGAAUUCCAUAUUCCUUCAUGAUCCAAAACAUCAUUACCAGAAAUUUUCCACUCUGUCUAGUAGAUACAACACCAAAAAGACGUUCCUGAAUGCUUUUCCAAAAAUAGGUACCCAAGAUAUGAACGUCCACAUCAGUUUUGAAGAUUACCGAGGUUCGAACCCGGAGCUAAGCUCACGAGGGACUCACAAAUAAGUUCUGUUAUAACGAGUUAGGGAUUAAAGUCCGCACAAAAAUAAUGGAAAACAAACUUUUUUGAGAUUACCUUCCUUCUUUUCCAUCCAUAUCAAAACAUAUUAUGGCAGCACCUUUUACUUUUUUUCACAUUUUUUAAGAAAGGUAGUUAGUGCAAUUAAUGUCUAUUUUGUAUGUUAAUAUUACCAAAUUUUCCUUUGUUUGUAUGUAUUAAAUUUGAGUUUACAUAUUUCAAGACAAGUUAGUAGCAUUAAUUAAAAGUAUGUUUAUGAAAAAAAUAAUAAAUGAAUCUAGUAAUUUGAAAAGAGGUUUAUAUUUAAUAACAAAUUUUUAGUCAAAUGUGUUUUUUUUUUUGUGGUGGCUGGGGUUUGAACCCCGGACCUUGCAACUGAGCUAAGCUCACGAGGACAGUCAAAUGAGUGUUUACAUAUAGGGACAGAGCGAGAGGGAGUAUAUUUGUUAGGCAUUUAUAUGGAUAAUACAUAAACUAUGUUUUGGAGUCUAGAUGUAAUAUGUAUCAAUCUCAUAUAAAUAAUUUUUUUAAUGGCAAAUAUUAGUACUUAUUUGUUAGAUUAAUAUUUUACUCUUUGCUCGGGUUUGAACCUAAGAACUUUAAAUUCUUUUCACUUAGCUCUAGCUCAAACCAGUUGAACUAUUCAACCUUUACUUGCAGUGUAUUAAUCGUUGCUGGAUGACAUUUUUGCUGAAUAACAGAUUCCUAAUCCCCUUUUAAUAGCCAGAAGUUACAAUCCUGGUAUUAAGCUAUAAUGAUUAGUGGCUUUCAUGGAUUGUUUCCUCAUUGAGUAGGGACUCGGCAUAUUAUAGCAUAGUUAAGAUUAAUUGAAUCUGUUGACAUGCACAUCAGAAGAAUGAUCUACAUUUUGUCCAAUCUGUUGACUCACAUCUCCAGUCUGUGGUUUUGUCAACAUGUUGCUUGUUUUAAAUCCCACCAUCCAUAUCAAACAUAACAACCCUCAUUGAUCUUGAGCUAAGUGGGAAUUUCCUCGCAAGUCAAAUUCCUUCAGAGCUUGGAUUGUUGAAAAACUUGCAACAGCUUGAACAUUGCUAUAACAGCCAUGUCGGUAACAUCCGUGAGGAGCUUCAAAAUCUCACCAAGCUUGUCGAUUUGUAUAUGUCAGUGAACUAUCCUUUCUUCUGUUUGCAGCCUUCCUAUGUUUCAUGUUUUACAUGUUUCGUAUCAGUAACAACCGUUUAGAAGGUUUGGUUCCAAAGUGACUCUUAAGUUUACCACAUUUCAAUCAUAGUAACAGUUUGACCAGUCCAAUUCUUGAGAUUUCUAGAAACUUUUUCAACUUUAACUUCAAGUGAGCAAAAUUUCAAGACAUAUAACUCCGACAAUCUCUUGAGCUAUUAGCCUUGUCGAAAUUGAUUUCAGUUAUAAAUUUCUCUAUGGUCCAAUCCCUUCAUAAAUUGGUAACCUUAGAAAACUUAAUUUGCUUGUGUUACAAGGGAACAAGCUGGUUCAUUCUUCUUUAGAGUUACUCAACCUUCUUGAUCUUUCCAACAAUCUCUUAACUGAGAACAUCCCCAAAAGCCUCUCUGUGUCGUUGUCUAAUUCCGUUAACUAUCACACUACCUUUUUUCUGUUCCAAUUCCUCCAAAAUUGAUCAAAGGAGGUUUGGUUUAUGAGUGAUGAUGUCAGUGUAUGCUAAUUCAUCUGAUAAAAAAAAAAAAAUUCUAUUAUGCUCACAUGGUCACAAGAGUAAGAAAGUUAACACUAUUUGGGUAGCUGGUGUAUUUGGUGUUUUGUUUUUUGUAGGAGUUGCUUUGUUCUUGGUGAAACAAAGACGCAGCUGUGGUCGAACAUGAGGAUACACUCUCUUCAUCAUGUUAUACUGUUAUUCCUUACAAGUUUGGACUGUAGCUUCUUGGUUACCUAGCCCGAGGUAAAUAAAUUCGCAGCAUAAUUUAUAUAGAGUGAUCAUCAUUCAAGUAUGGACAAAGAAUUCAAUCAAUGUAAGUUGUCAUAAUUUGAUAACGCCUUUCAUUUUGAAAUGCUUUUCAAGUAUGACCUUGAAAAUGAUCGACCGUCGAGUGGUUUGCAUCCUACACUACAUACUUGAUGCAAAUAACUGAGGAUAACAGUAGAUCGAUAAGGAUCUAAAAGAAUAACCAAUAAUAAUAAUAUAACAGUAAAUCAUUCAGAAUCUAGAAAAAAUAAUGUUUAGUAUGAAGCAUAGAGGCUCUCUCCAUUUAUCAUAUCUGCAUUAAAAGCCAUUUUUACCUUAAACAAAUCAAGUUUGUAUGGUAGAAGGAAGCAUGAAGACUAAGGAUAGAAAAUGAACGAUAUUUUGAUAUUGAUCUGAAAUAAAGGCAUGUGAGUCAGGUAAAGGCCAUACUAAAGGUUGAUAACAUAGAAAUAGUUCAAGUGUUAACUGUAGCCAAAACAAAAUAAUAGAAGGUUGUAUUUUGCUGAAAGGCUAGUGUGAAUGAUCUUAAAAAUUUCUAAUAAUUAAUAAUGUGGCUUUGAACGCAAUUUUCCAUUGUUGAUUCUAAACACAAUAAUCAUAUCCUUGCCUUAAGGCUAAAACAAUCAAAAGCCACCAGGUUCUGCUCAUAGAAUGCUACCAUCAACAAACCUAAAUUUGUUCAUGGUCACUGCCAUCGACUAAAUUCCAGCAAGUGUAAAUUAACCAGAAUCAUUAGAUUGAGCAUAAAAGAAAAGGAAACUGUUACUAUGAUUGAAAAUAAUUAAUAGAUUCCUAAUACUCCUUUAAAACUUACUACCUCCGUCUUUUCACCAAAAAGAAAAGGUCUGAAACAUCUUCCAUUAAGAUUCAUAACUGAAGAAAUAAACCACAUGUUCAAUCAUUAUUUGACUGAACAUAACUAUAUCAGAAACAAAUUUGUAGUGCAACUCGUCCAAUUUUUUACCAAUUGCAAAAAAUAAGUACAAUGAAACAAAAAAUUGAGUACAAUCAAUACAUUUUAGGGAAUAUGCAUUUUUGAAAGAGGAAAGGCUGCGCAAAGUAUAAAAAUAAUGGAAUAACACCAAUUGCUCAAACUUCAAAUUAACCACAAUUAAUCAACAAUAAUCCAUGAAAUCACCGGUAACAAAAUAAAAAACAUUAACAUAAAUUAAAAUAUAGGUUGUAGUUAAAUCUCAUGCUGAAGUGACAUAGCACAACAUCCUAGCAUUAAAAACAAGGUGAUAUCAAACUCUCAACACAUACUUCUAGGAAGUUGCAUUCAAACUUAGUAAGCUUAAAAGUUCCAUUAAUUAAAUCGUAAACAACCAAAAUCCAUUUGCCAUUUCCAAUACACUGCAGCAGUACUUUGUCAUCCUCAAAAGUAUAUAAAACCUUGAACAACAUAUAAGAUUUACUAGGAUCUUGCAUGUUAGAAAGAGUGAACAAUUUAGUCCAAGACUCUUGAAUUCCAUAUUCCUUCAUGACCCAAACAUCAUUACCAGAAAUUAUGCACAAGAAAUCUCUUAACACACCCAAGGUCAAGUUGGACACAUCCACUCCUUCAUCAUCAGGAGGCAAAACCUUUCGACAAAAUUCUUUCUCCAAAUCAAAAGAAACAAUAAAGAGUGCACUUUGCCGGUAUUUAUCAAUAGAUGUCAGCCAAUUAAUUGUGCCGCUCACAAAUAUUACAUACUGCUUAGUACAUACAUCACCAAAAGGACACUCCUGAAUGCUUUUCCAAAAAUUAGUACCCAAGGUAUGAACCAUCAUAUCAGUUUUGUUGACAUAAUUAAGAUUAUUAUCAAGUACGGUGUAUCCCAAAACAACAACCACCUUGUAAUUGUCCGUUGAAGAAUCAUAGCCAAAGCCAAAGCCGGAUGUGAGGUUAAUAACGUGACCGAUUGCCUUCUCAAGAAGUGGCAAUUCCUUGAAUUUUCUAAUGGAAGGGUUCCACAAUAGAACAUGAAUAGAAGAAGUUUGGUAUAAGUCGGCAAUACAAAGGAUACCGUUGCAAGAGGCAACAAUGGAAGGUAGAUAAAAACUGGUGGAAGGAAAGCUGAGAUGCAUGACGUCGGUGGUUACGUCGUCGGUGAAAACGGAGUGGAGUGUAUAUGACUUGAGAAGGAAUUUACUUCGUCCGUGGUUACGUCUUAUUCUAUGAAUGCGGCAUGUGGUUGACAUGCGAAGGUGCUUCUUGGAAAAUUUAGGAUGAGAGAUGAGAGAAUUCCAUGAAUUACAUACACAUCGAAGUUGAAGGAGGAGCUUCACUGGUAACCUACACAGAAUUUCUUCAAUGAGGUCGAAAGGAAGAAUGGGAAGUGAAUCAUCAUCGGAUGAGAAUGACGGCGGUGAUAUUAGGGUUAGCUGCUUGUUCAUGGCGGCAUAUGUUUCCUCCAUUGGAGAGAAUGAAGGUGGCGGCAGAUGUUAGGG
RNAcentral lists this long non-coding RNA (5221 nucleotides) under Medicago truncatula (barrel medic). RNAcentral describes it as "long non-coding RNA (MTRU_LNC001825)". The record is from RNAcentral. Lineage: Eukaryota; Viridiplantae; Streptophyta; Magnoliopsida; Fabales; Fabaceae.